AAAGAAUUAGUUAAACUCAAUAACAUAAAUAUGUCAAAUUUAAAUUAUUAUUUUUAAAAAAUAAUAUUCUUUU
RNAcentral lists this transfer RNA (73 nucleotides) under Thaumetopoea ispartaensis. RNAcentral's name for it is "transfer RNA-Asp". The record is from RNAcentral. Lineage: Eukaryota; Metazoa; Arthropoda; Insecta; Lepidoptera; Notodontidae.